CCUCCGGAGUGCCUCCGUCGAUUCCACUGCCUCCAAUUAAUAUGGUUUCGAUUUUUUUGGGUGAUUGGUUUGUUUUGGGGUGCUCAUGAUUAGUUUGUUUUGAUUUUGUAGGUUCUAUGCCUCAGACACCCUCUACUCCGCGCCGCCUUCAAUCUCUAACUCUCUGAACGCAUGUUGUUCUUCCUCCAGAAGUGUCCAAACUACUUCCAAUUUUCCAAAGAAUCGGCUUCUUUCUUUCUGAGGUAGUUUUUUUUUAUUGGAUUUGUGUUGGCCUUUUGGAGAUAUGUAUUAGCCAUAUAAGGUCUCAAAGAUUAGGGAAUGAUUAUUGUUAAACUUCAAAGAGAUUGUAUCCAGUUCCUUUUGUAACUCGGUAUAUGUAUUUGACUGCUGCAUUAGUUUUUCAGGUCUAAUGUUUGAUUCGA
Molecule: long non-coding RNA, 422 nt
Organism: Rosa chinensis
Lineage: Eukaryota; Viridiplantae; Streptophyta; Magnoliopsida; Rosales; Rosaceae
Exons: 2
Source: RefSeq, a predicted model, not a curated record